CAACCCGUCUCUGUUGCAAAAGAGUGGGAAGAUUUCUAAGUAGAGGUGACAAGCCUAUCGAACUUAGAGAUAGCUGGUUGUUCAGGAAAAGAGUCCCAGCUCUACCUUAAGUUUUUUUUAUUAAUCUAAACAAACCUCUAAACUUAAGAGCUAUUCAAGUAAGGCACAGCUUACUUGAAACAGGAUACAACCUCCUACAUUGGGUAAACAAGAACAAAUUAAACAAAGUGGGCCUAAGAGCAGCCAUCUUCCAAAAAGCGUUAAAGCUUAACUUAUAUAUACUCGUAAUUCCAAUAGUUCUUAUUAACCCCUCACUAUUACUGAACCAUUUUAUAACCUUAUAAAAAUUAUUAUGCUAGAACUAGUAACAUGAGACUACCUUUCUCCUUAAUGUAAACUUAAACCAUAAUGGAUUAUCCACUGGUAUUUAACGUAACUGUCCUCACUAUAGCAACAUAUUUCUAGAAAACCCUAUAGACUCCAACGUUAACCUCACACUAGAACAUUACAGGAAAGAUUAAAAGAAAGAGAAGGAACUCGGCAAACCCCAGCCCCGCCUGUUUACCAAAAACAUCGCCUCUUGACUAACAUAAAAGGUCCAGCCUGCCCAGUGACAUAGUUCAACGGCCGCGGUACCCUAACCGUGCGAAGGUAGCAUAAUCACUUGUUCUCUAAAUAGGGACUAGUAUCAAUGGCAUCACGAGGGCUACACUGUCUCCUCUCUCCAAUCAGUGAAACUGAUCUCCCCGUGAAGAAGCGGGGAUUUAAAUAUAAGACGAGAAGACCCCAUGGAGCUUUAAACUUAAUAUACACCUCUAUUCUCCUACACCAACUAACCUUUAAAAGUCUGUGUAUUAGUUUUAGGUUGGGGGGACCGCGGAGUACAAUUUAACCUCCACGACAAACGGGCCAACGCCCUUAUCCAUGAAACACAAUUCUAAGAAUCAACAAUCUGAUGUUUUAUGACCCGACAAGUCGAUCAACGAACCAAGUUACCCUGGGGAUAACAGCGCAAUCUA
RNAcentral lists this ribosomal RNA (1019 nucleotides) under Glandirana rugosa (Japanese wrinkled frog). RNAcentral's name for it is "Rugosa rugosa (Japanese wrinkled frog) partial 16S ribosomal RNA". It matches the Rfam family "Bacterial large subunit ribosomal RNA", at positions 776 to 2489 of the family's 2925-position model. The record is from RNAcentral. Lineage: Eukaryota; Metazoa; Chordata; Amphibia; Anura; Ranidae.